RNAcentral lists this ribosomal RNA (252 nucleotides) under uncultured bacterium. RNAcentral describes it as "partial 16S ribosomal RNA". It matches the Rfam family "Bacterial small subunit ribosomal RNA", at positions 524 to 776 of the family's 1533-position model. The record is from RNAcentral.
UACGAAGGGUGCAAGCGUUAAUCGGAAUUACUGGGCGUAAAGCGUGCGUAGGCGGUUUGUUAAGUCUGCUGUGAAAUCCCCGGCUCAACCUGGGAAUGGCAGUGGAUACUGGCAAGCUAGAGUGUGUCAGAGGAUGGUGGAAUUCCCGGUGUAGCGGUGAAAUGCGUAGAGAUCGGGAGGAACACCAGUGGCGAAAGCGGCUUCCUGGUCCAGCACCGACGUUCAGGCACGAAAGCGUGGGGAGCAAACAGG